AUAGUUUUUUUUUUUUUAUUCUUGUAACAUAGUUGUUUAAUAUGUUUGUUUCAGAACAAUUGAAUACCAAUUUGUUUAACAUUACUAAAUAGAUUAGAUUUAACAAAAAUGUAUGUUAAGGUUGUUCUUGAUACAUAUAUAUUUGCAUUCUUCUUUAGAUGUAUUUGUCAACUGAAGUAGGCAAGAUAAUCCUGAUCUUAUUUUUAAUUUUUAUAAUAGCUUGGUACAUUAGCUUUGAUCGAAGCAAAACUGAAGUUUGAUGGAGACGAAACAAUAAUGUAACGCAUUCGCUCCAAAAUUAUUUUCUAUGUUCUGAAGGAAAUAUUCAAUUUGAUCAUUUUUAGUGCACUACCAUGUUAUGAUUAAACUUCAAUAACUUGUUUGUUUGUUAGCAUAAACUUUUACAUAAGAUUAAGAAUUAAUGGGAAAUGCAUGCCCUUUUAAGUAGUUAAUAAAAAAAUUUUUUUAGAUUAGUUAUUUUUAUUUUGGAUCAUGAACAUUUAAAUGGAAAACUCACCAACUGUUAACAAGUCGACUGUUAACAAGUCAUCUAGGUCUUGACAAGAGGUAAGAAAUAUUUUAUAACUCAUGUUGAAUAUUUUUUUUUAAUGAUAUCCAUUAUGAUGUAUCCAUAUUUUCACAAAACAAUAAAUAACUCAUUUGAAAAAACAUUAAAGGGAAACCUUGUAAGUAUCUAACUUUAUGAAAUUUGAGCAACUCAUUUUAAUUACAUCAUACUCUGUAAAAUGUUUAAAAAAUCUGAAUGCUUAUCAAAGAGAAAUAUUUAUGAUUUAUUUUAAGCUAUUUAAACAUUGAGGAAAACAGAAAAUAAAAUGGAAAGAAAGAGUUAAACUUUUGUUGAUUGCAUUUAUAGUUUGUUUGGUUUGCUGUAUUAAGAUAUUACUGACCAUUUCAUUAUGUUUUACUUUUUUUUUUAUGUUUGUAUUUUUUAAAAUAAAGAUACAGUUUAACAUUUUCUUUUGUUUCCUUUAAAAUAAUUAUUUGUGUGGAUGUAUGAAUGAAAUCUAUAAAAUUGGUGUCCAUACAUUCUUAUAUAUGCUAUAGUAAACUGUAAAUGAUAGUGCUAUGUAACAUUCAUUAUCAAUGCUGUUUCCCAGUUCACAUAACUAAAACAUUAAAUUGAACUGCAUUAACAUUUUUCUAUAUUUUAUUAUUAAUUUAUAUGAACAGAAUUUAAGAAUGGUAGUUAUAUGUCCCAUGGAAGUAAGAUAAUUUAAGUAAAAAAAUUUGGAAUCUAAUAUUGUAUAAACUUGAAUAUUAUAAAUGGAUCCGAACUUACAGUAUUUAAAACUCUAUAAUAACAAACUUUAAAUUAAAAAUCAGAAAAUAUUUCAAGCACAGCUUUAGAAAAGACACCAUUAAAAAAAAGUAGUUUUGAUAAAACAUGUUUUACUGGGGGGGGGGGGG
This is a non-coding RNA of Biomphalaria pfeifferi, 1428 nucleotides long. Lineage: Eukaryota; Metazoa; Mollusca; Gastropoda; Planorbidae. The record is from the annotation of a GenBank genome assembly.